CUGGCAGGGUCCGUGGCAAAGGCUGGAGCGGAAGAAAUUGGUCUCUGUGUCAGCUCCGAAGCCCUCUGAGCUGGUGGAGCACGCUCUGCGUGCCUGCCAUGCCGUGCUGCGGGGUGCUGGUGCCUCCCGUGCUGUGCCUGGGUGCUGGGAAAUCAGGCUUUAUAAUUUAUGCCUGCUUCCCUGGGAUGGUGUCUGUGAGCCAGCCGCCUCUGGUCCUGCCUGUGCAUGGGAAGGAAAGUGGAUGGCUUCCCAGGAGCUGGUUUACCUGUGGAUGGGGAGCCUCUUUGCACUGGCAGUUUGCUAAAAUCCUCGCGUUCCUGCUGCACGUCCUUCCCUCUCUGGCUGGGGAGAUGAUGCCGUGUGCUGUGGUCCCCUGUCCACAGGGCAGCUUUACCACAGAGGGGCCGUGCUGCAUAAGCUUCUCACUGCUGCGUGGCCGUGCAAGAGGAACAGGCAAGACCUCCAAGGAGGGAUGCAGUUGGGGUGAUGGAGGCUGCGAUGGAUGAUGCAGUGUCAGCGCUUUCAUAGCCAUCUAGACAGAGAGGUGUGAAGGGCACGCGGAUGCUGGCUGCACAUCAUGGAGCUGGGCUGGCGGGGCUGAGAUCAGAGGGAUGCUGCUGGCUGCGGGGGAGGAUGGACCCGGCGCUGCGGAUCGGUGGCGAUGAGACGCUGCGGCUGUCCAUUGUACAAGGAGCUGCUCACGUGGUUUCAGGCGAGCCAAAAUAUUCUUUCAGAAAGAGAACGGACCAGAUGUCUUAUUAUUGCUGCUCACAAUGCUGUCCUCCAAGUACAACGAUCCAUCAGGGGGCUCGGCACAGCCCUACAGAAAAGUCCCUGACACAUUUUUACAGCAGGGCCAGGUUCUCACCACUUGUGUGCAUUUGUACCCCUUGACAAAUAGCUGUUUGACUUCGGUUUUGUUCAAAGUCACGGCAGUGUCAAGCACAGGGCUCCUAUUCAAGUGCCCACCAACGGUGGUCCACAACUCGCUGUUUCCUCUUCUUUUCUUGCUUUGUUUUCCUAUGACAGUCACUUGGGAACUUUUUCUUUUUUUAUCUCAUAGGAGUUUUGAAAGACAGUUUUAAAGGAUUUAUCCACAGCAAACAGCCCUCUAAUAAGGACUGUAAAAAUGGCUUGGGAGUAUAUGGUGUGAGGAAUUCCUGUUUGCUGACAUGACACUUAAUUGCCUUUUUUUUUUUUUUUUUUGUA
This is a long non-coding RNA of Falco peregrinus (peregrine falcon), 1209 nucleotides long. RefSeq lists it as uncharacterized. NCBI's taxonomy places the organism in Eukaryota, Metazoa, Chordata, Aves, Falconiformes, Falconidae. The transcript is spliced from 3 exons. The record is from RefSeq and is a predicted model, not a curated record.